UGGGAGUGAGAAUGUUGGCAUGAGUAGCGAGAUGUGGGUGAGAAUCCCACAGGCCGUAAACCCAAGGUUUCCAGGGGAAGGUUCGUCCGCCCUGGGUUAGUCGGGACCUAAGCUGAGGCCGAAAGGCGUAGGGGAUGGACAACAGGUUGAUAUUCCUGUACUACCGAUAACCGUUUGAGAGAUGGGAUGACACAGUAGGAUAAGCUAAGCACACUGUUGGUUAUGUGUGCCCAAGCAUUGAGGCAGUCAAAGUAGG
RNAcentral lists this ribosomal RNA (256 nucleotides) under Clostridioides difficile. RNAcentral describes it as "partial 23S ribosomal RNA". It matches the Rfam family "Bacterial large subunit ribosomal RNA", at positions 1283 to 1536 of the family's 2925-position model. The record is from RNAcentral. Lineage: Bacteria; Bacillati; Bacillota; Clostridia; Peptostreptococcales; Peptostreptococcaceae.